This is a long non-coding RNA of Aplysia californica (California sea hare), 331 nucleotides long. RefSeq lists it as uncharacterized. Lineage: Eukaryota; Metazoa; Mollusca; Gastropoda; Aplysiida; Aplysiidae. The transcript has 2 exons. The record is from RefSeq and is a predicted model, not a curated record.
GAUGCCCAAUCAGUGGCGUUUGCGCAUGUUCGUUCAUUUACCCAUUUAGCCGCGGCUUUCUUCGAGCGUGGGGGGACGGAGUGUGGCAGUGCCUUUUGGUUUUUGCCAGUGCUGCCUUUGUUUAUACUAAUUUUUGGUGGAGCUGUUGUUUCCUUGGAGUAAAAAUGUCGAGGAGAGACGAAGACGAUGAUAGUGUGGAUGCUGAAGAGGAAAUCGAAGAAGAAGAAGAAGAGCAGGAGGAAGAAGAAGUUGUAGAGAAGCAGCCAAGCAAGAGAGGACGUAAAAGAAAACAAAAAGAUGGAAAUGACAGGAAGAAGAGGUCCAAGAAAAA